CUAUACAUGACUCUGUGCAUAUCAAUAAGCGGAGGAAAAGAAACUAACAAGGAUUCCCCUAGUAACGGCGAGUGAAGCGGGAAGAGCUCAAAUUUGAAAUCUUAAAGGGUUUCCCUUUACGAAUUGUAGUUUAAAGAAGUGUUUUCUGUUGAGGUUUUGGUAAAAGUUCUUUGGAAUAGGACAUCAUAGAGGGUGAGAAUCCCGUAUUUGACCUUUACUUUCAACUUUGUGAUACACUUUCAAAGAGUCGGAUUGUUUGGGAAUGCAGUCCAAAAUGGGUGGUAAAUUUCAUCUAAAGCUAAAUAUUGGCGAGAGACCGAUAGCGAACAAGUACCGUGAGGGAAAGAUGAAAAGAACUUUGAAAAGAGAGUUAAACAGUACGUGAAAUUGUCAAAAGGGAAGCGUUUGACACCAGUGUUGUUUUUCUGAAAAUCAAUUAAAGAACUGUUUAUGCUAAGUUGUUUAGACUUUAUCAGCUAACUGUUUAGUUUUGAGCUUUUCUUUAAUGCACUUUUCAGUUAACAAGUCAACAUCAAUUUCUUUUGCUGUAAAAAAGCUUGAGGAAGGUGGCUUGAGAUUCGUCUUAGGUGUUUAUAGCCUCUUGCCUAUGCAGUCGGAGAGAUUGAGGUCUGCAGCGUAGAUCCUUCGGGGCUAAAUGCAUUUGUGCUAAGUUAUAGCAUUUUAUAGACAACUUGUUGACUAUGAUUUGUCUUGUAGCUUACUCGCUUAUGUUAUUUUACCUACGCUUAGGAUGUUGACAGCAGUAUAGACUGU
Molecule: ribosomal RNA, 774 nt
Filed under: uncultured Neocallimastigales
Lineage: Eukaryota; Fungi; Neocallimastigomycota; Neocallimastigomycetes; Neocallimastigales
Description: partial large subunit ribosomal RNA
Rfam family: Eukaryotic large subunit ribosomal RNA
Source: RNAcentral